Molecule: RNA transcript, 1945 nt
Organism: Cucumis sativus (cucumber)
Lineage: Eukaryota; Viridiplantae; Streptophyta; Magnoliopsida; Cucurbitales; Cucurbitaceae
Gene name: putative E3 ubiquitin-protein ligase RING1a
Exons: 10
Source: RefSeq, a predicted model, not a curated record
AAUAAAUUUGCAAGCGAAAAUCUCCCAUCCUCUUCUUCUUCUUCUUCUUCUUCUUCCUUGUUCCUUCUCCUCUUUUUCUUCUUCUUCCCUUUUCUUCUCUGUUUCCUUAGCUCCAUCGCCAAAUACGAAAUCCUUCUCUAUUUGUAACGUUUGCCAAUGCCUGCACAUAAACGUUCUUGGUCCGACACUGUUCAUGGCGAAGACCCCAGAGACCAACAAUUCAGCCAUCAAGAUGCCAAGCAAUCUCGAACCGAACGUGAGACCAAGACUGACAUAGAAGAAGAAGAGGAGGAGGAGGAGCAACGGGAGGAACAGUUGAAGGAAGGACAACGAGUAGAUGAAGGUGAGGAAGAAAAGCAACGCCAGCAAUUGGAAGAAGCGACUGGAGAUAGAGAUUCCGAAGGAACCCAAUCCUCUAGCUCUGAAGAGAAACCGGAAUUUAUUUUUGUGGAGCUUUCAGGCAUUCGGAAAGAUGUUCAGUGCCCAAUUUGUCUUGGGAUUAUUAAGAAAACGCGAACUGUAAUGGAAUGCUUGCACCGGUUCUGUAGAGAAUGCAUUGACAAAUCAAUGCGGCUGGGGAACAAUGAAUGUCCAGCUUGUCGUACACAUUGUGCCAGUAGACGUUCUUUGAGAGAUGAUCCAAAUUAUGAUGCACUGAUUGCCGCCCUAUAUCCAGAUAUUGAUAAAUAUGAGGAGGAGGAAUUAACAUUUCAUGAAGAAGAAAGGAACCGUAAUAAACAGAUUCAGGAAUCAAUUGCUCAGAUAUUUCAACGACAAUCAGAAGCACUAAGUAAGAAACGCAUAUUGGGAAAGGAUACAGCUGGUGUGAUUCUAACAAGAUCACGUCGCAAUCAUAGGAAUGUUCAUUUAAGGAGACAAAAUGGCCGAGGAGAUGAAGUAUCGGGAUAUGAAGAUAAUGACGAUGACGAUGAUAACAAUGAGGGCAAAGAUUCAUCUUCAGCUGAUGAAAGAUUUACAGAAGUUAGACAAAGGAGGAAGAAGAGACAUCCCACCGUUCGUUCCUCUCAGCCUUCUUCGUCAAUAGCCAACAUAGAUAGUGGAGAUGGAUGUGCUGAAAGUGAUUUAGAUAUGAGCAGAGAGAAUCGAACAGUUUCUCCAGGUCUUGUCUUGAACACUGAAAUGCUUGGUUGGGGGCGUGGUGGUGUACGUAGUAACUCCAGGCAUGGUAGUGCUGGUGGGUCCGGCAAUAAAAGUUCUAGAAGUAGUCGUUUAAUGAAACUAGCCAAAUAUCUGCGAGGCCUAGAAGAAAAUAACAAUGAGUUGGAUGUCCAUCUCCUUCUUAUUUCAGUGGAUAAAGAAAGCACUCCAAGUUUGCAGCAGCCACAUCUCUACUGCCGUCCAAGUUUGACUGUCAAACACUUGCGUGAAGUUCUCUUUUCUUAUUCCAUUGAAAGCAGUAUGUCUCGCGAAAGACACCUCUGCAAGCUGAUGAUGUUGAAAUACUGUCACUGAAAGGUCGCCCUAGGACUAGCAAUGAGCAAUCAACCCCAAGUGCUUCAAUCUCAAUUGAUGGCAUGUCUCUUGUUUUUGAUCCACUUAAGUAUGAGCUACAAAGUUUGGAAGGCGAAAUUUUUUUGGCAGGACUUCAAUCAGAUUGCACCUAUAGUAGGGACCUCUUGAUUCUAGGAUAUCGUCGGAAGGGGCGGAGUUAACAAGUAACACCUAAUACCUAUACGCAUAUCUUAUUUUAACUUGUUAUUCAAUUUUCCAUACCUUUUUGCUUUUAGUGAUAGGAACAUUUUUAGUAUACCUGCUGAUACAAUAUGAGGGAACUUGUAAAUAUGAAUCCUGAAGGUUUCUUUUUAUUACAGCAUAACAGUAGCUACAUUUUUUAAUUCUAGUUGUUGUACAACAUCUUGGCGGUGUUCAAGGUUCGAUUCUCAUUGUGUGAAAUUAAUAAAGUCAAAUUGUACCUGUCCAGGAA